CAACUUUCAACAACGGAUCUCUUGGCUCUCGCAUCGAUGAAGAACGCAGCGAAAUGCGAUAAGUAAUGUGAAUUGCAGAAUUCAGUGAAUCAUCGAAUCUUUGAACGCACCUUGCGCUCCUUGGUAUUCCGAGGAGUAUGCCUGUUUGAGUGUCAUUA
This 158-nucleotide ribosomal RNA is filed under the name Cleistocybe carneogrisea. Its description in RNAcentral is "5.8S ribosomal RNA". It matches the Rfam family "5.8S ribosomal RNA". Rfam says of the family: 5.8S ribosomal RNA (5.8S rRNA) is a component of the large subunit of the eukaryotic ribosome. It is transcribed by RNA polymerase I as part of the 45S precursor that also contains 18S and 28S rRNA. Lineage: Eukaryota; Fungi; Basidiomycota; Agaricomycetes; Agaricales; Biannulariaceae. The record is from RNAcentral.